AGUGAACGCUGGCGGUAGGCCUAACACAUGCAAGUCGAACGAACACACAAUAAGCGCGUGCUCUUACGGGUGGCGAGUGGCGGACGGGUAACACAUACAUCGGAAUCUACUUUUUCUUGGGUGAUAACGUAAGAAAACUUCUGCUAACACCGCAUACGACCAACCGCAGAAAUCAGUAGUUCUUCGGACCUUGCGCGAUACUAUGAGACGAUGUCGGAUUAGCUAGUUGGCGGGGUAAAGGAACACCAAGGCGACGAUGCGUAGCUGGUCUGAGAGGAUGAUCAGCCACACUGGAACUGAGACACGGUCCAGACUCCUACGGGAGGCAGCAGUAGGGAAUAUUGGACAAUGGGCGCAAGCCUGAUCGAGCCAUACCGCGUGAGUGAAGAAGGCCUUCGGGUUGUAAAGCUCUUUUGUUAGGGAAGAAAAGCAGUAGGAGUAUAUCCCCCUGUUUUGACGGUACCCAAAGAAUAAGCACCGGCUAACUUCGUG
Molecule: ribosomal RNA, 492 nt
Filed under: uncultured bacterium
Lineage: Bacteria
Description: partial 16S ribosomal RNA
Rfam family: Bacterial small subunit ribosomal RNA
Source: RNAcentral